This 903-nucleotide ribosomal RNA is filed under the name Deltaproteobacteria bacterium. Its description in RNAcentral is "bacterial SSU rRNA". It matches the Rfam family "Bacterial small subunit ribosomal RNA", at positions 1 to 879 of the family's 1533-position model. Lineage: Bacteria; Pseudomonadati; Myxococcota; Myxococcia. The record is from RNAcentral.
AAACUGGAGAGUUUGAUCCUGGCUCAGAACUAACGCUAGCGGCGUGCCUAACACAUGCAAGUCGUACGAGAAAGUCGGCUUCGGCUGAUGAGUAAAGUGGCGCACGGGUGAGUAACGCGUGGAUAAUCUGCCCUUUAGUCUGGAAUAACCCACCGAAAGGUGAGCUAAUACCGGAUAAUACUGAAUGAGUAACGCCAUUUAGUCAAAGAAGGCCUCUGCUUGCAAGCUUUUGCUGAAGGAUGAGUCCGCGUACCAUUAGCUAGUUGGUAGGGUAAUGGCCUACCAAGGCUUCGAUGGUUAGCUGGUCUGAGAGGAUGAUCAGCCACACUGGAACUGAGACACGGUCCAGACUCCUACGGGAGGCAGCAGUGAGGAAUAUUGCGCAAUGGGGGCAACCCUGACGCAGCAACGCCGCGUGAGUGAGGAAGGUUUUCGGACCGUAAAGCUCUGUCGAGCGGGAAGAAAUGCACCAUGGCUAAUAUCCAUGAUGCUUGACGGUACCGCUAGAGGAAGCACCGGCUAACUCCGUGCCAGCAGCCGCGGUAAUACGGGGGGUGCAAGCGUUGUUCGGAAUUAUUGGGCGUAAAGAGCGUGUAGGCGGUUGAAUAAGUCAGAUGUGAAAGUCCUGGGCUUAACCCAGGAAGUGCAUUUGAAACUGUUCAGCUGGAGUAAGGGAGAGGAAAGUGGAAUUCCUGGUGUAGAGGUGAAAUUCGUAGAUAUCAGGAGGAACACCGGCGGCGAAGGCGACUUUCUGGCCCUAUACUGACGCUGAGACGCGAAAGCGUGGGUAGCAAACAGGAUUAGAUACCCUGGUAGUCCACGCUGUAAACGAUGUUCACUAGGUGUUGGGGGUAUUGACCCUCUCAGUGCCGCAGCUAACGCAUUAAGUGAACCGCCUGGGGA